This 427-nucleotide ribosomal RNA is filed under the name uncultured bacterium. Its description in RNAcentral is "bacterial SSU rRNA". It matches the Rfam family "Bacterial small subunit ribosomal RNA", at positions 355 to 774 of the family's 1533-position model. The record is from RNAcentral.
UAGGGAAUAUUGGACAAUGGGGGCAACCCUGAUCCAGCCAUGCCGCGUGAGUGAAGAAGGCCCUCGGGUUGUAAAGCUCUUUUGUCCGGAAAGAAAAGCUUCGGGUUAAUACCCCGGGGUUCUGACGGUACCGGAAGAAUAAGCACCGGCUAACUUCGUGCCAGCAGCCGCGGUAAUACGAAGGGUGCAAGCGUUACUCGGAAUUACUGGGCGUAAAGCGUGCGUAGGUGGUUGUUUAAGUCUGAUGUGAAAGCCCUGGGCUCAACCUGGGAAUGGCAUUGGAAACUGGGCAGCUAGAGUGCGGUAGAGGGUAGUGGAAUUCCCGGUGUAGCAGUGAAAUGCGUAGAGAUCGGGAGGAACACCAGUGGCGAAGGCGGCCUUCUGGACCAGUACUGACGCUCAUGCACGAAAGCGUGGGGAGCAAACA